RNAcentral lists this transfer RNA (64 nucleotides) under Conanalus pieli. RNAcentral describes it as "tRNA-Ala". It matches the Rfam family "tRNA". From Rfam's summary of the family: Transfer RNA (tRNA) molecules are approximately 80 nucleotides in length. The record is from RNAcentral. Lineage: Eukaryota; Metazoa; Arthropoda; Insecta; Orthoptera; Tettigoniidae.
GGGGUUGUAGUUAAUCAUAACAUUUGAUUUGCAUUCAAAAGGUACUAUUUAUUAGUCUACCUUA